GGCCAUUGUCCACGUUUCCAACACACAGUCAGACUCCUCAGCCAGGAACCCCCCACCCCCGGCCACAGUUCCCCUCCUGGUCACACCUGUACCUCCCACUGCCAGAAGGAGCCAUGGGUGUUUGUACCUGUCACCUCUUCCUCUCCGUUCUUACUGUCCCCUGUCGCUGGAGAUACCGACAGUGUGUCGGGAGGCAUCGGCCAGGACUGGGCCGCUGCAGGGCUUAGACGGGACGUGAGAGGUGGGGGGCGGGGCGCAAGGAGGAACUCCCAGGCUCUUUCUGGUCACAAGCCUCUGUCCACCCCCCCACUCCCCAGUGUCCGGCCCCACACUGACACCCAGGCCUAUGGACUCGGGAGAAGUCACUGCUUCUCUCUGAGCCACCUUGUCCACAACUGCAAACGGAAACAAUGUACCCUUUGCUGCUCACUUUUCAAGGUGACGGUGACAGGGACCAACACAGCCUAUGUGAACACAAGCCGCCUGGAGGGCCCAUCACAGGCGGGUGGCUGUGUCCUGGCCUGGAACCACCCUGGGUCUCCUGAGCCCAGGGAACACCCAUCUCCGGUGGCAGCGUGGGCUCGUGUUGCCACCCUGGGUUUAUACCAAUGGUGGCCGCCUGCUGCACCCCCCACCCCGGUGCGGGCUGAGGACUUCAGGGGUCACCUCCCUCCAAAUUUCCUCUUUGCUAAAGCUCGGACCCCUACGGGCUCCCAGCGGGCAGCUCCACUGCAACAGAGGCCUUGGAGGUCGGCGGCUCAGGCCCCACCACCUCCAGCUGAGGAAAGGGGGCUGCGCGUGUGCGGGUGGGUGCAGGCGUGCCAGGCCGGGGCUGUCGCGGGGUGUGCAGGAGGGCGGGGCCGGCAGCGCGGCGCCCCCUUGCGCGGGGCGGAUGGUGAGGGGGCAGCAUGGGGCCCAACCGACGUGGCUUUCCAGGCGGUUCAGGGGCCUCCUUGCUGUCUGGGACGAGCCAGACAGGGUUUGGGAAGCAGAAACCGGCCGGCGCUUCUCGCCCGCCCUCUAGUUUCACUUUCC
Molecule: long non-coding RNA, 1035 nt
Filed under: Sus scrofa (pig)
Lineage: Eukaryota; Metazoa; Chordata; Mammalia; Artiodactyla; Suidae
Description: lncRNA (ENSSSCG00070012489.1)
Source: RNAcentral